CACAGCAGCACAUCUUCCUCCUACCGCUUCCGUCAGUUAUAGCGCGUCAUGACUGUAGCACCAAAGUUUGCGUUGGCGGGCGGCGCAACAAUCGAUCAUGGUUUUUAAUCUCCCGUGUGUUAUUUUUAGUCUUGCGAUGGAUAUCCUUUAAGAUGUAAGUGUGAGUGGGAUGCAGGACAGUAGAGCGGUGAAUUAUGCCGUUGCCAUGAGAGUGGACUGAUCGAGGCACUUUUAAAGGUGGCCACAGAGAUGGAGAGUCCUUCUAAGAUCGAGAGGCGACAAGCGUGGGCAAGCAGCCGCCACAAGUUUACCGUAAGAGAUGCAGAACACCGCAGCCCAACAGCAGAACAUCAGUCUCAUUUCUCUCUCCAAGAUGAUGUCUUUGUGGAUGGAUGCUCUGCUGGAAAAAUUGAAACCUGGCUUCAAGGUUGUGGGAAUGAAGCCAGUCAUGCCAAAAGCAGUCACCUAACAAUAGGCCCUUUGAGGACAGGUACCAGCUUUGAGGAUGAUCUGACUCUGGGUGCGGAAGCUACUGCAUUAUAUUAUGCAUCAGGUGCACCACAGUUUAGCAGCACACCUCAACAGAAGCUCAACCUGUCAUUAUUCAGCAUGGGCCAGAGUGUCGCAUCCAGUGCCUUCUCAACCACUACAAACAGGACUGUUUCCAGCGUGUCUGAGGUCCUCCAAAUGCGUGCUGAAGAUGCAGAAGAGACACUUUUCCAGCUGGGUUUCGGUUGCGAGGAACCGCAGGUCACUGCCCGUAUCCCAGUUCGCUUCUUCAAUUUCCCAUCCCAGCUCAGAGGCAUCAACUUCCGCCUCUUUCUUGAAUCCCAGCUCUCCAGGAUACGCCAGGAAGACCCCUGUCUUUCAUUAGCAAGUCGUUUCCGACAAGUAGAAGCAUUGACGGCAAUGGCCAAUGCCUUCUAUUCGCUGUACUCCCAUGUGUCCCGAACACCUCUUCAGAAGCUUGCACCGCCCCAGUUAACCUUCACCUCCCCAAUUGUGGAGAGGACUUUGUCUCGAACCAGUGUCCGCAGUGAACCGCGCUCCCCUGUUGAAAGACUAAAAGACACUAUCUCCAAAAUGUGUUUAUACACGGGAUCCCGUGGCUCGGACUCCACGUCUCCAAGCAAUUCACCUCGUAAGCGUAAAUGCAGUCUGUCAGGUGUAGUUGAGAAGAGUGCAGAAGAUGACAAUGAAGAGUUAUGUCUUCAAAUGGAAGUAGAUGAUCUGGACCCAGACUUGGACUGGUUUAUAGAGAGCAAGAAAGAACUUGAGGAGGAGACGUAUGGGGAAAACACCGAAAGGACUGAUUCCUCAGAGCGUAUGCCUUGUCAGUCGCUAUCCGAGACGACAAAUGAAAAUGUACACAACCUCAGGCAUACAUUAGCAGAGUGUGCACCUUGCCUAGAGCCAAAAACGGACAUGGACGUGAAUUCCAAAGGUUGUAGUCUGCAUUCUGUGCUUUCUAAUAGCUCCAGCGUUACCGUGGAACCUGUUCCUAUCAUUGCCCAUGAUAUCAUAUGCCCUCAGGUUGUUGAAUAUGUGAAUCAGGCACCUUAUCACUGCAUACACACAAAUAGUAUGGAUAUCAAAAACUCACCAUUUACACACCAGACGACUAAAAAGCCUUCUGUAAGACAACCUAAUGCAAAGAAUUUACCCAAGUCAGAUCAGUUAUGUCAGAUCACAAUAUCUGGAUGGGAGGACGGCACCACCCGCUCCAACAGAGACACACAGGAACAGAGUUCAUCCAACAUCAAGAGGUUUAUAAGCCCGGUAAAACCACUAAACCUGAGCAAACAAGGCAACUCCUUCGAGCUGGAAGAGGUUGAAGUACAUAGUGAAUGGACGGACUUACUACAGGUUGCAGUACAUUACUAGUGACCAGACUGACUUACUACAGGUUCACAGUGCAGAGGAAGAGGAAGCCACUUCAUCAGAAUUCUGCUCCACAGUCACAUUGUCUGUUUCGGCGCAUCACCACAAAUCGUCACCACUGCGAGGGGACAGUUUUCAGUCAGACAGCAGUGGAUAUGCUGACGAGGAUGUGCACCAUUCCCUCUUAACCCCAGAGAAAACAUAACAUCAAAUCUCAGGCUAAUGAAGCACAAACUGUGUCUACUAAUAUUCUCCAAAUCAACAUGAAAUGGUGUUUGCGGUCUUUCUAAGCGGAUUUGUCCAUCAGGAAUGAUUUUAUCUUUGGAAUAGCUUGCACAGAUAAGUCAUGCACAAUAAGACCAGGAGCAUGUAUGAUUGUUGCUUUUAUGUUACUCUAAUGUGAAACCAGCAGCCUAGAACGAUGCAUAUAAUCUGGUUUUGAAAUAGUAUGUGUUCUCAUUUUGUGCACUUUUUGGUCUUCUUGUUCAAAUGGAUUACCUGCUGUACAUACUGCCUUUAUUUGUCAUUGCACAAUGGUAAUAAAUAAUUUAUUUAAGC
This is an RNA transcript of Cyprinus carpio (common carp), 2439 nucleotides long. It is a transcript of the gene named protein TESPA1-like, with no coding region annotated. Lineage: Eukaryota; Metazoa; Chordata; Actinopteri; Cypriniformes; Cyprinidae. The record is from RefSeq and is a predicted model, not a curated record.